RNAcentral lists this ribosomal RNA (467 nucleotides) under uncultured bacterium. RNAcentral's name for it is "partial 16S ribosomal RNA". It matches the Rfam family "Bacterial small subunit ribosomal RNA", at positions 28 to 507 of the family's 1533-position model. The record is from RNAcentral.
GACGAACGCUGGCGGCGUGCUUAACACAUGCAAGUCGAACGGAAAGGCCCUGCUUUUGUGGGGUGCUCGAGUGGCGACCGGUGGGUAACACCUGAGUAACCCGCCCCUUACCUUGGGAUUACCUCCGGAAACCUGGGCCAAUACCCGAUAAGAGCCCCUUCCGCCUGGUGGGGGUUGGGAAGUUUCGGCGGUUGGGGAUGGACCCGCGGCUUAUCAGCUUGUUGGUGGGGUAGUGGCUUACCAAGGCUUUGACGGGUAGCCGGCCUGAGAGGGUGACCGGCCACAUUGGGACUGAGAUACGGCCCAGACUCCUACGGGAGGCAGCAGUGGGGAAUAUUGCACAAUGGGCGGAAGCCUGAUGCAGCAACGCCGCGUGCGGGAUGACGGCCUUCGGGUUGUAAACCGCUUUCGCCUGUGACGAAGCGUGAGUGACGGUAAUGGGUAAAGAAGCACCGGCUAACUACGUG